RNAcentral lists this small RNA (777 nucleotides) under Rattus norvegicus (Norway rat). RNAcentral's name for it is "uncharacterized LOC103691658". Lineage: Eukaryota; Metazoa; Chordata; Mammalia; Rodentia; Muridae. The record is from RNAcentral.
GCCAGCCCAGAUCAGGGCCAUGAGCCAAGGCUUGGCCUUGCUGUGAGCAAGGGCUGUGAGGAAGAUUUGGCAAAAUUUUAAUUAACUGAAGAUAAACAUACAUGGGGAGAACCAGUCCAUUAGCUGUCCGUGCCACCUAGUGAGAAAAGGCCCGCUAAUCACACACCGCAGCAGCCCAGGAAAGGCAGAAACACACGCUCAGCACAAUGACGUUGGAAUGGAACUUCCCUGGAGGGUGGCCACUGGAAAUCAAGCCAAGGGAACCCAAAGUGAAGACCUGUCCUGGAGUCAGGCCCGGGCCAGUUGGGGCCAGAAGAGGAGGCGGGGCAGCCCUGUACCUGCCUGAGGUGCUGGUCUGCUCCCACCCUGACGACAAUGGAUUAAGCCUCUGAAGCUGUAAGCACCCCCCCCACCCCUUAAAUGCUUUCCUUUAUAAAAUUUGCUUGGUCACGGUGUCUCUUCACAGCAAUAGAACACUAAGACAUGUGAAUUAUUUGCUGAGUCUUAACAUUUAUAAUCACCUGGGCAAAAUAAAGUCCCAUGAAGUUCUAUGGAACAUUUCUACCAGAAAGUUCUCCUCUGCUCUUUCUCAGGUCCUGCCUUCCUCCACCUCUAUGGCUAUUUCCCAACCACCAUUCAUACUUUCUUUUCCCAAAUAGAUUACUCGAAUGGUCCAUUAUUCUUGGCUUGACUAGAUUUAGAAUUACCUAGGAGAUAUACCUUUUAGGGUCUUUCAUGGCAUUUCCAUGGAGGUUUAACUGAAGAGUAGACUUACCC